This 2681-nucleotide long non-coding RNA is filed under the name Acanthaster planci (crown-of-thorns starfish). RNAcentral describes it as "uncharacterized LOC110983222, transcript variant X7". Lineage: Eukaryota; Metazoa; Echinodermata; Asteroidea; Valvatida; Acanthasteridae. The record is from RNAcentral.
UAGGCGACGCGACCAGACGACGCGACGGCACGACGGCUCCUUGCGUCGUUUUCUUCGUAAUGACGACAUCCAGAGAGUCCCCUUGUUGCGGUCUGAGCACCAGUCUGGUGUUUUCCUGCGUGUUUCUUGAGUUCGUUGUAUAGUAAUCAUGCCUAACUCUACAGACUCAACGGUUCCUGUCUUUAUAUCUGUGGACCAUACACUCGUAUUCGGGAAAUAAAAAGGAGGGACAAAGAGUGGCAUUUGCGAAGAUGUCAAGAAAGUAACUACUUUGGUUCCCUAGAUCAUUUACUGAAAGCUGAGACUGCCUAUUCUGUUUCUUUUGUAUCAUUUUCAAAAUACAUGUAGUGGACUCGGUGAGCUUGCAUGCCAUAUAGUAAAAAGAUUAUUAUCAUAGAUUUCACCGUUCACAUUAUGCUAUUGUGUGCAGGUUACUUUUUUGGUGGGUUCGGCUGUUUAAUCCCAUUGUCGGUAAUUGGUUUCUUAACAGCUAUUCUGUGAUGUGCCAUCAGUGUAUACUCGGUCAUUGAUUUUCUAGUAUGAAGACUUGGAGUGGAAUGAGUGGGUUGAAAUUCAAGAGGAGUAAAUUUGCAGGUUUUCUGCGGAUCGAUUUAGCUAUCGUGUGGUUGAACAGAAUAUGCACUCACUUAAAAAAAAGCCAUUUACUGACAGUUUGGUCAGUGCCAUCUCAUUUUGCAUAGUCUUGUCUUAUUCUCUCUGUCAUACCUAACCUUGUUCACACACUGCAGAACCAGAAGUGGGAAAGGGUCCUGCAGAGGAGCGUGAUAAAACCGAGAAAGAAAAGCUCCGGGUUAUAUGUACAUGUGUCUACGCUAGGAUUUUCUGUUGCCUCAGUGUUCUGCUGUUUUGAGACCACAUGACUUGUGAAAUUAAAUACUAAAUUAUGACAUCUUCUUUCACCUCAGAGACAAGCCACCCCUGCCAAAAUGCCCUUGACCACCGUGGGUGCAGGUAUGGUUUAGUUAAUAGGGUUACAAUCUCUGUCUAGGCCAAUCUGCGUGUGUUUGGAGAAGAGGUGCAUGCAUGUUGAUGUAUUGGCUUGUAUCAUGAGCUUGUUUCAGUCCGGUUACAGAGGGGUGGCGGUGUGAGAUUUGUAACAUUUUAGUGAGACAUUACAUACAGCAACCUGCAGAACAAGAUCAUUCCACUGUAUUUUUUUCCUGAGGGAAGUCAAGGACCAAAGGAUAAUAUGGAAAUAGAGCUCGCAAACGGCCAAGGGCACAGUAUACCAGAAGAGGAGUUUGUAGACAGAUUAAUUGAAGAGAAGGGGUUGAAAACAAGGAUUUACCUGAAAACAAAGAAAUCAGAGCCAAGCAGACAUCCCCCAGCCUGACAUUUCUAUUUCUAGUGAAGUCUCCGGACCUGACUCAGUGGCUGCUGUGGUCAUCAUUGAUGACAGCUCUGCCGCAGAAGAAACUGUAGGGCAGGAUGACAGCCUUCCCGUUACAUUCGAUGAAGCAGACACACCCACGGUUCUCUUCAGGAAGACAGGAGGUACAAGUCAACCGCAGCAAGUUCAGGCUGAUGCUUCUCAAGCCUUCCAACAGCGGUGCACCUCCUAAUCCAUAUUCACCCAGUUCAAAGUGUGCCAUCUGUUGUGACAGAGACAAGCAGUCUUUUUUAUUCCUUGUGGCACUUCUUGUGCACAGUCAGUUCAAGUGCCGUGGAAAUGAACGGUAGUCCAUGCCCAUUUUGCAUGAUAUAAAUCACAAAAAUCGGGAAUAUUUUUAAACACAACUGAUACACAAUUUGAAGCAAAGCUCAAUAUUUAACAUAAAGAACUAAGAAUUUUAAUUCUUUGCUUUUUAUGAUACUCUGUUAUGACAUGUAAGUUCUCGAUUGAUGCUUAAAUGUCCAAGGUUUGGAGUGGGUUCAAAUUUAUUUUUAGAUGUUUGAAUAAUCUGUAUUCACCGAUCACUAAUCUUCUCAAUGCACGGUCAGUGUUUGUGUUUCAUCUGCAGCAUUAUCAAUAUGGGUAUCCUGGUAUAUAAAGCUAGGAGGAAACUAAGUCAGUUAAUUGCUACCACCUUGCAUAUAUUGAAAUCACUAUUAUUAAAAGCACGAAAUUAUUUUCACAUAGGUCUAUGUGCAUUUCCCUCAUUGUUCCAUGCAUUUUAACAUACACAAAUUGGUUUAUAAUUUUUGAUUAUGUUGUUGAACUGUUCCUACUUGGUUUUGAAUAAUGUAUACGUUCUACAUUAUACUAACUCCAGUUAUAUAAAGUGCUUGUAUAAUAGUUACACUUCGGCAGCUGUGUCUUAAUGUUUUUUAGCAUUUCUCACUGUGUAUUUUAUCAAAAAGUUGUUAACUUUUUAAAUGUGUGAGAGUCAAUACUGACACUUAGGCAUGAGAAAACCAGUGUCAUUUGCUGAUUUAUAAAGGAAACUGACGGUUGUAGGAAGAGACAAAUUAUUUUUCUGUCACAUCAUCAUGAAUAACUAAAAGGAGCACCAAUUUGAACCAAUUAUUUCACAAUAUUUUUGUGACAUUUCCUCCCACUUUGAUAUUAUUGUACAAUUGAAACCAUUCACAUCAUGUCUUUUCUGAGAUUUUUUUCCCUUGGCCCUUUUCCCCUUGCUUGUACACAAUCACACAAACAAAGGAUGGGUCAAACCACCAGAGUAACAGGCAUGUUUUCCUUAAAUAUCCACGCAGGUCAU